AUGGAGAGUCUUCCGAGAGUAAAGCCAUCUAAACUUGGUCUUCUUGUCCUUAUUGGAUUAAGUUUGUUUUACAGAUGGCCACUGUGUGUAAGUCUGGAUGAUGCAGAUCAAAAGCUUCCUCUGGAACUCAUGCAAUGCAGCAAGCCAAUUCACAACAUCACAGUGCAGUGAAAGUUUACAUGGCAGGACUUCAUCCUCAUGAUACAUGUCUUGUAUCCCCAUCCUGCUCCUAACAGGUCACCCUUUGAUCUGUUCAUUAUUCUAUUCCACGUUGAAAGGUUUUAGCUUUCCUAUACAGAAGCUGAUGAAACAAGGGGUUUUAUUGUCUCAGCCUGUUUGAUUUCCAGACUUUCACAAAGAGGAUCAAGGAAGCAGACCAGAUGCUCAUUAGGAUAUGAUGGCUUCAGUAUCUCUUUGGUUCCAAUAUAACUCUCUUCUGGGGGGUGGGUAUUCAAGCUUUAUUAGUGGCUGUUCACUUCAUAGCUUUUACUAUAUUGCCUUCUGAUUUUCUCUGUGAUCAUGGAGUGUUGCAAGAUAUACUUUCUCCAGGGCCAUUGUGUCAUAUGUAUGUCACAUGUUUAAUGUUAGUGCUAGGGAAGAAAGCAUGGACAGAAAUUUAUACUAUUCAGAUCCUAGCUUCAGUUGCACCACUCUGUGGUAGAGAACCUUUUUCUGUUACAAUUUAUUUUUAAGUAAAGGGUUAAGUGAUUUAUUAAGUGAUUUAUCUCCAAAUCAUUCAGUAUCUUUCUUAUCUCCUGAGGAGAUAUAACUGUAGUUAGAAUUAGUAAGAAGGUUAUUUUUUUUCACCUUUGGAAAAAGUAAAAUGAGAUAGAGCAAAUUUCCUGUAAAAAUCCAGAAAAAUAGAUUUUUUUUCUUUCUUUCUGUAAUUUGCCAGUUAAAAUGCAAUUGCUUGCUUCUUCUCUCUCUCACUGACUUCAAAUAAGUUGUUGUAUUAUAACCUGCCAGGUGGCUGUGCCACACACAGACAUUUGCUUACUACUUACCUUCCCAGUGGGAUGUGGGAGAGAAUUAAAAACAAAACAAAACAAAAAACCAACAACAAAAUCAAACUAGAGAGUUGAGGUAUAGCUAUUUACUAAGAUAGAUAAAAGGAAAACAAUAAUAGUUAUGACAAUACACAUAAGCGUAUAUAUACACAUGAAUCUAUGUAGCAAGUGAUGCACAAACAAUUGCUCAUUACUCACCAACUGAUGCCCAGCUAGUGGAAGCCCAUCCAGCAGUGGAAGAGAAAAAGUUGAACUCUCAUUCCUUUCAAAACUCCUUUUUCAUGAUGUUAUAUGGUAUAGAAUAUACCUUUGGCCAGUUUAAGACAGCUCUCCUAAUUCUUUUCCCUCCCAGCUCCUUUGGCCCUUCACUGAGAAUGGCCUUGACUCUGUACAGCACUGAUUAGCAGCAACUAUAAACAUCAAUGCGUUAUCAACAUCAUUUUUUCUCCUAGAACGAAAGCAUAGCAUCAUACCAGACACUCUGAAGAAAACAAUUCAAUUCCAGCUGAAAUUAAGACGUAAGUUUAGAAAACUUCAGAGGUUUUUGCCCAAACGUUUGUGACCUGAACAAUUUAGAAAGAAGCUGAUCUAUUUAAAAAUGAGUUUUCUGCUAAUUCUAUUUACAUAUAUAGAUUUGAGAUUUAUUGAGCU
RNAcentral lists this long non-coding RNA (1658 nucleotides) under Meleagris gallopavo (turkey). RNAcentral's name for it is "lncRNA (ENSMGAG00000022890.1)". Lineage: Eukaryota; Metazoa; Chordata; Aves; Galliformes; Phasianidae. The record is from RNAcentral.